RNAcentral lists this ribosomal RNA (1442 nucleotides) under metagenome. Its description in RNAcentral is "bacterial SSU rRNA". It matches the Rfam family "Archaeal small subunit ribosomal RNA". The record is from RNAcentral.
UCUGGUUGAUCCUGCCAGACCCGAAUGCUAUCGGUGUGGUACUAAGCCAUGCAAGCCUAAAGAUAGCAAUAUCUUGGCAUACGGCUCAGUAACACGUGGAGAAUCUGCCCUAUGGUCCACAAUAACCCCGGGAAUGCUGGGGACAAUGGUGGAUAUCCGAGGUUGCCUGGAAUGGUUCCUCGUUGAAAGACCCGUCGCCAUAGGAUGACUCCGCGGCCGAUUACGCUUGACGGUGGGGUAACGGCCCACCGUGGCUCUGAUCGGUACCGGCCAUGUAAGUGGGAGCCGGGAGACAUAUACUGAGACAAGGAUAUGAGCCCUACGGGGUGCAGCAGGCGAGAAAACUCUACAAUCCGCGCAAGCGGGAUAGGGCUACUCCGAGUGCCAACCCUAAGAAGGAUGGCUGUGGCGGGAUAUACACAGUCCCGCAAGAAAGGAGAGGGCAAGGCUGGUGCCAGCCGCCGCGGUAAAACCAGCUCUUCAAGUGUUCGGGACUAUUAUUGAGCUUAAAGCACUCGUAGCCGGACUUUUAAGUCCCCGGUUAAAUACACGAGCUCAACUCGUGUUUCGCUGGGGAUACUGGAAGUCUUGGGAGCGGAAGAGGUAGCGGGUACCUAUGGGGUAGCGGUGAAAUGCGAUAAUCCCAUGGGGACCACCGGUGGCGAAGGCGCGCUACUAGGACGCGUCCGACGGUGAUGGGUGAAAGCCUGGGGAGCGAACGGGAUUAGAUACCCCGGUAGUCCAGGCUGUAAACGAUGCCCGUUAAGUGUAACACGAGCCAAGAGCUUGUAUUGUGCUGAAGAGAAAUCGUUAAACGGGCCGCUUGGGGAGUACGGUCGCAAGGCUGAAACUUAAAGGAAUUGACGGGGGAAUACCACAAGGGGUGAAGCCUGCGGUUUAAUUGGACCCAACGCCGGGAAACUUACCAGGGGCGAUAGACGAAUGAGGGUCAGGCUGACGACCUUACCCGACGGUCUAAGAGGUAGUGCAUGGCCAUCGCCAGUUCGUGCCGUGAGGUGUCUUGUUAAGUCAAGCAACGAACGAAACCCGUGCUGCUAAUUGCUACCGAUAACGUUAUGACGUUCCGGGCACAUUAGCGGGACCGCCACUGCUAAAGUGGAGGAAGGUGCGGGCCACGGUAGGUCAGUAUGCUCCGAAUCCACCUGGGCCACACGCGGGCUGCAAAGGCUGGUACAAUGGGCUGCGACGCCGAAAGGCGGAGCUAAUCUCGAAAGCCAGUCUCAGUCGGGAUAGUGGGCUGCAACUCGCCCUCUUGAACUUGGAAUCCCUAGUAGUCGCAUGUCAUCAUCGUGCGGCGAAUGUGUCUCUAUUCCUUGCACACACCGCCCGUCGCUUCAUGCGAGUGGUUUUGGGGAAAGGCGCUCUCCAUGAGGGAGUGUCUAUCCUUGGGGCCGCAAGUAGGAAGAAGUCGUAACAAGGUA